Argiope bruennichi is the source of this 1112-nucleotide long non-coding RNA. RefSeq lists it as uncharacterized. The record is from RefSeq and is a predicted model, not a curated record. The transcript is spliced from 3 exons. Lineage: Eukaryota; Metazoa; Arthropoda; Arachnida; Araneae; Araneidae.
GAAAUGUCGCAGAUAUUCUGUUCGUUUCGUGUAUUCCGAUUCAAUUUCAAAUUUGGAAAUGCUAUGCAAUUUUUUUCUGUUCAAGUUUUUUUGAUCUCCCAAGGAAUGCAAGAAAUAGGUCUUUAAUUAUCAAUUGAAACAAUCAAGAGACAUCAAGAUUAAUUUAAUCUUCUGUGGAUUUGCUAAAAUAUUGGACAAAGAAAAGAAAAAAUGGCAUCUUCGAACUUCUAAAUUACCGGCCAUCUUGACGUUCUCUUGCAUGCGUAUUUGGCAAGUGGUAUCAUUUUGACUCGUCAUUUUGUCGACUCAUCAUUUCAUCCAUUCAUCUCUUCAUCAAUUUACCAUUCAGCGAGAGUGAAGAACAUUCAGCUGGGCUGAAGAAACUUUUGCUGGUCAUACCGGACAGGAGUGCAGGUCUGAAACUCCUCUCAAUGAAGGACCUUUUACAAGUGACUGAAUUGAUAGUGUAUUAAUCAAGGACACCUGUUGACAUUUGAAAGGACAAUCUGCUGAAUUUGUUACUGAUCCAUGAACAAUGGACAUUUUUUUUUUCUCAGAAGACUUAAACACACUUUCUUCUCCACUUUCUUGGACUUUUUCCUUUGCUUGUUCUUCGGAAUGAGACUAUGUUGAAAUAUCUUUUGUGUUGGAUUUCUUCAUUCUUUAAAUCAUUAGGACUUAUCACAGAUAUAGACAUUGGACUUUCACAAUAUGCAAGAAUAUCUUUUUGUAAAAACAUGCAAGAGCUUCCACAUUAUUUUGUAAUUUAAAUUUAACUAUUAUCUAUUUUUAGUAAGUGACGAAAGAAAAAAAAAAUAUAACUUCAUCUUUCUCCUACAAAAGAAAAGGGGAUAUAGACAGCCGCCAAAAGGCACCCAUAAACCCGCAUCGCUCGCAUCCAGACGCCGUUUUAUGAGCUGGCAUGCGACUGCUGUGUGGUCAGUAGGUCUGUGUUGUGUUCUUUUAUUUGCGCUAAAGCUCCUUCAAUUAUGGAAAUCUGGUAUUAUUCUAAAUUUGUAGUUGUAGUUUCUACUUCCUGUUUCAAGCGAAUUAUCUUCUUCCCAUUUAAAGAAAUUAGUUUGUUGACUUUUAAGACAAAUUUGCCAUCUUAU